Molecule: ribosomal RNA, 435 nt
Filed under: uncultured bacterium
Lineage: Bacteria
Description: partial 16S ribosomal RNA
Rfam family: Bacterial small subunit ribosomal RNA
Source: RNAcentral
AGCGAACGCUGGCGGCAGGCUUAACACAUGCAAGUCGAACGGGCAUCUUCGGAUGUCAGUGGCAGACGGGUGCGUAACACGUGGGAACGUACCCUUCGGUUCGGAAUAACUCAGGGAAACUUGAGCUAAUACCGGAUACGCCCUUUUGGGGAAAGGUUUACUGCCGAAGGAUCGGCCCGCGUCUGAUUAGCUUGUUGGUGGGGUAACGGCCUACCAAGGCGACGAUCAGUAGCUGGUCUGAGAGGAUGAUCAGCCACACUGGGACUGAGACACGGCCCAGCCCCCGCGGGGGGAGGGGAGGGGGAAAUAUUGAAAAGGGGGCGCAGGCGUACCCACGCCAGGCGGGGGGAGAGAGGAGGCCCUUGGGUUUGAAAGUCUGUUUUGGCGGGGACGAGAAUGACGGUACGGGAGAAAGAGGCCCCGGCUAACUCGGUG